This 1583-nucleotide ribosomal RNA is filed under the name human gut metagenome. Its description in RNAcentral is "bacterial LSU rRNA". It matches the Rfam family "Bacterial large subunit ribosomal RNA", at positions 1345 to 2925 of the family's 2925-position model. The record is from RNAcentral.
CCAAGGUUUCCUGCUCUACGUUCAUCGGAGCAGGGUGAGUCGGCCCCUAAGGCGAGGCUGAGAAGCGUAGCUGAUGGGAACAAGGUUAAUAUUCCUUGACCGCCGUUGAGUGCGAAGGGGGGACGGAGUGUUGAAGAUCAUCCGGGUGUUGGAUGUCCCGGUUUGUGAACGUAGGAGGCCGGCAGGCAAAUCCGCCGGCGUAUCUCCGAGGUGAAGCAUCGAGGUCCGUAUGGACCGAAGUGAUCGGAUGGGCUCCCAGGAAAAGCCUCUAAGCUCCAGCUCAACGGGACCGUACCGCAAACCGACACUGGUGGGCGAGCUGAAUAUGCUCAGGCGCUUGAGAGAACUCAGGAGAAGGAACUCGGCAAAUUGACACCGUAACUUCGGGAUAAGGUGUGCCUCGGUAGCGUGAAGGAAGAAACAUCCGGAGCGUGAAGAGGUCUCAGAGAAUCGGUGGCUGCGACUGUUUACUAAAAACACAGCACUCUGCAAAGACGAAAGUCGACGUAUAGGGUGUGAUGCCUGCCCGGUGCUGGAAGAUUAAUUGAUGGGGUGCAAGCUCCUGAUCGAAGUCCCAGUAAACGGCGGCCGUAACUAUAACGGUCCUAAGGUAGCGAAAUUCCUUGUCGGGUAAGUUCCGACCUGCACGAAUGGCAUAAUGAUGGCCACACUGUCUCCUCCCGAGACUCAGUGAAGUUGAAAUGUUUGUGAUGAUGCAAUCUCCCCGCGGCUAGACGGAAAGACCCCAUGAACCUUUACUGUAGCUUUGCAUUGGACUUUGAACCGAUCUGUGUAGGAUAGGUGGGAGGCUGUGAAACCGGGACGCCAGUACCGGUGGAGCCGUCCUUGAAAUACCACCCUGAUUUGUUUGAGGUUCUAACCUAGGUCGGUGAUCCCGAUCGGGGACCGUGCAUGGUAGGCAGUUUGACUGGGGCGGUCUCCUCCUAAAGGGUAACGGAGGAGUGCGAAGGUACGCUAGGUACGGUCGGAAAUCGUGCUGAUAGUGCAAUGGCAAAAGCGUGCUUGACUGCGAGACCCACAAGUCGAGCAGAUACGAAAGUAGGUCAUAGUGAUCCGGUGGCUCUGUAUGGAAGGGCCAUCGCUCAACGGAUAAAAGGUACUCUGGGGAUAACAGGCUGAUACCGCCCAAGAGUUCAUAUCGACGGCGGUGUUUGGCACCUCGAUGUCGGCUCAUCUCAUCCUGGGGCUGUAGCCGGUCCCAAGGGUAUGGCUGUUCGCCAUUUAAAGAGGUACGUGAGCUGGGUUUAAAACGUCGUGAGACAGUUUUGUCCCUAUCUGCCGUGGGCGCUGGAAGAUUGACGGGGGCUGCUCCUAGUACGAGAGGACCGGAGUGGACUCACCUCUGGUGUACCGGUUGUCACGCCAGUGGCAUUGCCGGGUAGCUAUGUGGGGAAGAGAUAACCGCUGAAAGCAUCUAAGCGGGAAACUUGCCUGAAGAUAAGUCUUCCUGGAGGCUAGACCUCCCUAAAGAGUCGUUCGAGACCAGGACGUUGAUAGGUUGGGUGUGUAAGCGCUGUGAGGCGUUGAGCUAACCAAUACUAAUUGCUCGUGCAGCUUGAUCC